AUUGAACGCUGGCGGCAGGCCUAACACAUGCAAGUCGAGCGGUAGCACAGAGAGCUUGCUCUCGGGUGACGAGCGGCGGACGGGUGAGUAAUGUCUGGGAAACUGCCUGAUGGAGGGGGAUAACUACUGGAAACGGUAGCUAAUACCGCAUAACGUCGCGAGACCAAAGUGGGGGACCUUCGGGCCUCAUGCCAUCAGAUGUGCCCAGAUGGGAUUAGCUGGUAGGUGGGGUAACGGCUCACCUAGGCGACGAUCCCUAGCUGGUCUGAGAGGAUGACCAGCCACACUGGAACUGAGACACGGUCCAGACUCCUACGGGAGGCAGCAGUGGGGAAUAUUGCACAAUGGGCGCAAGCCUGAUGCAGCCAUGCCGCGUGUGUGAAGAAGGCCUUCGGGUUGUAAAGCACUUUCAGCGGGGAGGAAGGCGAUGAGGUUAAUAACCUCAUCGAUUGACGUUACCCGCGGAAGAAGCACCGGCUAACUCCGUGCCAGCCGCCGCCGUAA
RNAcentral lists this ribosomal RNA (504 nucleotides) under uncultured bacterium. Its description in RNAcentral is "partial 16S ribosomal RNA". It matches the Rfam family "Bacterial small subunit ribosomal RNA", at positions 29 to 523 of the family's 1533-position model. The record is from RNAcentral.